RNAcentral lists this non-coding RNA (78 nucleotides) under unclassified sequences. RNAcentral describes it as "NiCo sequence". It matches the Rfam family "NiCo (Nickel/Cobalt) riboswitch aptamer". The record is from RNAcentral.
ACAGUACAAACUGAGCAGGCGAUGGACAUUGUUCAUGGGGCUGGGCCAAUGGCAGCAGGUUAUACCUGUGGGACGGUA